This 264-nucleotide long non-coding RNA is filed under the name Gossypium raimondii (Peruvian cotton). Its description in RNAcentral is "long non-coding RNA (GRAI_LNC004565)". The record is from RNAcentral. Lineage: Eukaryota; Viridiplantae; Streptophyta; Magnoliopsida; Malvales; Malvaceae.
GGUCUGAUACGAGUCACAAAGGCCUUAGAUGCGUAUACGAAAGAAAAAGAAAAUCAAGAUUCACUUUCUUGUUUUCAAGAAAAUCAAGAAACCGAAUCUUGGUCCAAUUUUGCUGUUUUGAGCGAUUUCAAGAAUCAAGAAAAUCAAGAUUUCAAAUCUUGGAAAUCUUGGUCCAAGAAACUGAAUCUUGCAACUAAGGUGCAUUGGAUCUCAGUUACGAGCAUUAACAAGCCAAUUUUGGGAGAGAACGGAUUACAAGCCCAA